CUCCGUGUCGUGAGAUGUUGGGUUAAGUCCGCAACGAGCGCAACCCUUUUCCUUAUUUGCCAGCGGGUAAUGCCGGGAACUUUAAGGAUACUGCCAGUGACAAACUGGAGGAAGGCGGGGACGACGUCAAGUCAUCAUGGCCCUUACGGCCAGGGCUACACACGUGCUACAAUGGUCGGUACAAAGGGUUGCUACCUCGCGAGAGGAUGCUAAUCUCAAAAAGCCGAUCGUAGUCCGGAUCGCAGUCUGCAACUCGACUGCGUGAAGUCGGAAUCGCUAGUAAUCGCGGAUCAGAAUGCCGCGGUGAAUACGUUCCCGGGCCUUGUACACACCGCCCGUCACACCAUGGGAGUUUGUUGCACCAGAAGUAGGUAGUCUAACCGCAAGGAGGACGCUUACCACGGUGUGGCCGAUGACUGGGGUGAAGUCGUAACAAGGUAAGCGUAGAUGA
RNAcentral lists this ribosomal RNA (451 nucleotides) under uncultured bacterium. RNAcentral's name for it is "bacterial SSU rRNA". It matches the Rfam family "Bacterial small subunit ribosomal RNA", at positions 1059 to 1509 of the family's 1533-position model. The record is from RNAcentral.